UACGAAGGGGGCUAGCGUUGCUCGGAAUCACUGGGCGUAAAGAGCGUGUAGGCGGCCAAGCAGGUCCGCUGUGAAAACUCGAGGCUCAACCUCGAGACGUCGGUGGAAACCGUUUGGCUAGAGUCCGGAAGAGGAGAGUGGAAUUCCCGGUGUAGCGGUGAAAUGCGCAGAUAUCGGGAAGAACACCCGUGGCUAAGGCGGCUCUCUAGUACGGUACUGACGCUGAGACGCGAAAGCGUGGGGAGCGAACAGG
This 253-nucleotide ribosomal RNA is filed under the name uncultured bacterium. RNAcentral describes it as "partial 16S ribosomal RNA". It matches the Rfam family "Bacterial small subunit ribosomal RNA", at positions 524 to 776 of the family's 1533-position model. The record is from RNAcentral.